Molecule: small nucleolar RNA, 136 nt
Organism: Suncus etruscus (white-toothed pygmy shrew)
Lineage: Eukaryota; Metazoa; Chordata; Mammalia; Eulipotyphla; Soricidae
Product: small nucleolar RNA SNORA70
Exons: 1
Source: RefSeq, a predicted model, not a curated record
AUGCAGUCAAUUUGACCACCCUGUUCUCUGACCUGUGAGACCCGGGAAGAGAUGACUGCAAACAGGAAACAGACUCCUUGGUGGUGCUGAGGCUUGUGACAUGUACAAGUCUGUCAAAAGAACCCUGGAGACAGUU